RNAcentral lists this ribosomal RNA (478 nucleotides) under uncultured bacterium. RNAcentral's name for it is "partial 16S ribosomal RNA". It matches the Rfam family "Bacterial small subunit ribosomal RNA", at positions 28 to 523 of the family's 1533-position model. The record is from RNAcentral.
GACGAACGCUGGCGGCGUGCUUAACACAUGCAAGUCGAACGGUAAGGACCCUCGGGGUACACGAGUGGCGAACGGGUGAGUAACACGUGGGUGAUCUGCCCUGCCCUUCGGGAUAAGCCAGGGAAACCGGGUACCAUACGGGACAGGCACACUGGCUGCAUGGGUGGUGGGGGAAAGCUUUUGCGGUGUGGGAUGGGCCCGCGGCCUAUCAGCUUGUAGGUGGGGUGAUGGCCUACCAAGGCGACGACGUGUAGCCGGCCUGAGAGGGUGACCAGCCACACUGGGACUGAGAUACGGCCCAGACUCCUACGGGAGGCAGCAGUAGGGAAUAUUGCACAAUGGGCGCAAGCCUGAUGCAGCGACGCCGCGUGAGGGAUGUCGGCCUUCGGGUUGUAAACCUCUUUCAGCACCGACGAAGCGCAAGUGACGGUAGGUGCAGAAGAAGGACCGGCCAACUACGUGCCAGCCGCCGCGGUAA